Non-coding RNA from Gossypium hirsutum (cotton), 107 nucleotides. The record is from Rfam. Lineage: Eukaryota; Viridiplantae; Streptophyta; Magnoliopsida; Malvales; Malvaceae.
AAUCCAUACAUUGGACACUUUCGAAUUAAAUCUUUAAAUCGUUCCCAAGCUUCAUAUAAUGUUUCAUCCUCUAAUUGUUGAAAAGGCGUAAUACUAUUUCUCAACUU